Molecule: long non-coding RNA, 1083 nt
Organism: Ictalurus punctatus (channel catfish)
Lineage: Eukaryota; Metazoa; Chordata; Actinopteri; Siluriformes; Ictaluridae
Source: Ensembl
UCAGUAAUUAAGUCAGUGAGUAAGUCAGUAAAUUAGUAAAUCAGUAAUUAAGUCAGUGAGUAAGUCAGUAAAUUAGUAAAUCAGUAAUUAAGUCAGUGAGUAAGUCAGUGAGUAAGUCGGUAAAUUAGUAAGUCAGUAAUUAGGUCAGUAAUUAAGUCAGUAGUUAAGUCAGUAGGUAAGUCAGUGAGUAAGUCGGUAAAUUAUUAUGUCAGUAAUAAAGUCAGUAAGUCAGUAAUCAAGUCAGUGAGUAAGUCAGUAAAUUAGUCAGUAAUUAAGUCAGUAAGUCAGUAAAUUAGUUAGUCAGUAAUUAAGUCAGUGAGUAAGUCAGUGAGUAAGUCAGUAAAUUAGUAAGUCAGUAAUUAGUCAGUAAUUAAGUCAGUAAGUCAGUAAAUUAGUUAGUCAGUAAUUAAGUCAGUAAGAAGGUCAGUGGAUAAGUCAGUAAAUUAGUAAGUCGGUAAUUAAGUCAGUAAUCAAGUCAGUAAGUAAGUCAGUAAUCAAGUCAGUGAGUAAGUCAGUAAUUUAGUUAGUCAGUAAUUAAGUCAGUAAGUUAGUAAGUCAGUAUUUAAUUCCGUAAGUGAGUCAGUAAGUUAUUAAAGAGUAAGGCAGCACAUGAGUCAUUAAUUCAUUAAGUGAGUAAGUUGCUAAGUUAGUGAGUUAUUAAGUCUGUAAAUUAUUAAGUCAGUAAUUAAUUCAGUGAGUCAUUACAUUAUUAAAUAAGUGAGACGGUUAGUAAGUUGGUAAGUCAGGAAGUAAGUGAGUAAUUCAGUCAGUAAGUGAGUCAGUUAGCUAUUAAGUCAGUGAUUAUGUCGGUAAGUCAGUAAUUUAGUAAAUCAGUAAAUUAGUACAUCAGUGAGUAAGUCAGGAAGUAAGUGAGUAAGUGCUAAGUUAGUAAGUCAGUAUGUUAAUAAGUAACGUUAAUAAGUAUGUUCUUAAUGAGUUAGUUAACGUUAAUGAGUAAGUCAGUAAGUGAGUAAGUACUAAGUUAGUAAGUCAGUAAGUUAAGUCAGUUAUUAAAUGAGUCAGUAAGUGAGUAAGUGAGUGAGUCAGUCAGUCAUUAAAGCAGUCAGCUUUAGUAAGCUGCCA